GUUAUAUGGUCAAGCGAAUAAGCGCACACGGUGGAUGCCUUGGCGGUCAGAGGCGAUGAAGGACGUGGCAGCCUGCGAAAAGUAUCGGGGAGCUGGCAACAAGCUUUGAUCCGGUAAUGUCCGAAUGGGGAAACCCACCCGCUUGCGGGUAUCCUGCAGUGAAUACAUAGCUGCUGGAAGCGAACCUGGUGAACUGAAAUAUCUAAGUAACCAGAGGAAAAGAAAUCAACCGAGAUUCCGUAAGUAGCGACGAGCGAACGCGGACUAGCCCUUAAGCUGAUUUGGUUCUAGGAAAACGCUCUGGAAAGAGCGGCCAUAGAAGGUGAUAGCCCUGUAUCUGAAAGGGCCAUUUCAGUGAAGACGAGUAGGGCGGGGCACGUGAAACCCUGUCUGAACAUGGGGGGACCAUCCUCCAAGGCUAAAUACUACUGACCGACCGAUAGUGAACCAGUACCGUGAGGGAAAGGCGAAAAGAACCCCGGAGAGGGGAGUGAAAUAGAACCUGAAACCGUGUGCGUACAAGCAGUAGGAGCUCCGCAAGGAGUGACUGCGUACCUUUUGUAUAAUGGGUCAGCGACUUACUGUUCGUGGCAAGCUUAACCGUAUAGGGGAGGCGAAGGGAAACCGAGUCUGAUAAGGGCGCAUAGUCGCGGGCAGUAGACCCGAAACCGGGUGAUCUAGUCAUGCCCAGGGUGAAGGUGCGGUAACACGCACUGGAGGCCCGAACCCACUCCCGUUGCAAAGGUAGGGGAUGAGGUGUGAUUAGGAGUGAAAAGCUAAUCGAACCCGGAGAUAGCUGGUUCUCCUCGAAAGCUAUUUAGGUAGCGCCUCAUAUGUAUCCUCUCGGGGGUAGAGCACUGUUAUGGCUAGGGGGUCAUCGCGACUUACCAAACCAUUGCAAACUCCGAAUACCGAGACGGACUGUAUGGGAGACACACGGCGGGUGCUAACGUCCGUCGUGAAAAGGGAAACAACCCAGACCCACAGCUAAGGUCCCAAAUUCACUGCUAAGUGGAAAACCAUGUGGAAAGGCACAGACAGCCAGGAGGUUGGCUUAGAAGCAGCCACCCUUUAAAGAAAGCGUAAUAGCUCACUGGUCGAGUCGGUCUGCGGGGAAGAUUUAACGGGGCUAAGCAGUGAACCGAAGCUUGGGGUGCAUACUUUGUAUGCGCGGUAGAGGAGCGUUCCGUAAGCCGUUGAAGGUGGAUUGAGAAGUCUGCUGGAGGUAUCGGAAGUGCGAAUGCUGACAUGAGUAACGAUAAUGCGGGUGAAAAACCCGCACGCCGAAAGCCCAAGGUUUCCUUGCGCAACGUUAAUCGGCGCAGGGUGAGUCGGCCCCUAAGGCGAGGACGAAAGUCGUAGUCGAUGGGAAGCAGGUUAAUAUUCCUGCACCUCGCGUAAGUGCGAUGGAGGGACGGAGAAGGUUAGGUGUACCAGGCGUUGGUUGUCCUGGGGAAAGGCGGUAGGUUUGGAUCUUUGGCAAAUCCGGGAUCCUUUAAGACCGAGCACCGAGACGAGCCUUUAUGGCGAAGUCACUGAUACCACGCUUCCAGGAAAAGCUCCUAAGCUUCAGCUUACGCAGACCGUACCGUAAACCGACACAGGUGGGUAGGAUGAGAAUUCUCAGGCGCUUGAGAGAACUCGGGUGAAGGAACUAGGCAACAUGGCACCGUAACUUCGGGAGAAGGUGCACCCUUUUUGGUGGCUCGUGCGAGCUAUAGCUGAAGAGGGUCGCAGUAACCAGGCCGCUGCGACUGUUUAUCAAAAACACAGCACUCUGCAAACACGAAAGUGGACGUAUAGGGUGUGACGCCUGCCCGGUGCUGGAAGGUUAAUUGAUGGGGUCAGCCGCAAGGCGAAGCUCUUGAUCGAAGCCCCAGUAAACGGCGGCCGUAACUAUAACGGUCCUAAGGUAGCGAAAUUCCUUGUCGGGUAAGUUCCGACCUGCACGAAUGGCGUAACGACAGCGGCGCUGUCUCCACCCGAGACUCAGUGAAAUUGAAAUCGCUGUGAAGAUGCAGCGUUCCCGUGGCAAGACGGAAAGACCCCGUGAACCUUUACUAUAGCUUUACACUGAACGUUGAGUUCGUCUGUGUAGGAUAGGUGGGAGGCUAUGAAACUGUGGCGCUAGCUGCAGUGGAGCCAUCCUUGAAAUACCACCCUGUCGUGCUUGACGUUCUAACCUGGGCCCAUUAUCUGGGUCGGGGACCGUGUAUGGUGGGUAGUUUGACUGGGGCGGUCUCCUCCUAAAGAGUAACGGAGGAGCUCGAAGGUACGCUCAGCGCGGUCGGACAUCGCGCACUGUGUGCAAAGGCAUAAGCGUGCUUGACUGCAAGAUCGACGGAUCAAGCAGGUAGGAAACUAGGACUUAGUGAUCCGGUGGUUCUGUAUGGAAGGGCCAUCGCUCAACGGAUAAAAGGUACUCCGGGGAUAACAGGCUGAUACCGCCCAAGAGUUCAUAUCGACGGCGGUGUUUGGCACCUCGAUGUCGGCUCAUCACAUCCUGGGGCUGUAGUCGGUCCCAAGGGUAUGGCUGUUCGCCAUUUAAAGUGGUACGCGAGCUGGGUUCAGAACGUCGUGAGACAGUUCGGUCCCUAUCUGCCAUGGGCGUUGGAGAUUUGAGAGGGGCUGCUCCUAGUACGAGAGGACCGGAGUGGACGAACCUCUGGUGUUCCGGUUGUCACGCCAGUGGCAUUGCCGGGUAGCUAUGUUCGGAAGCGAUAACCGCUGAAAGCAUCUAAGCGGGAAGCGCGCCUCAAGAUGAGAUCUCCCGGGGCACAAGCCCCCUGAAGGAACCAUGUAGACUACGUGGUUGAUAGGUCAGGUGUGUAAGUGCAGCAAUGCAUUGAGCUAACUGAUACUAAUGAUCCGUGCGGCUUGACCAUAUAACCU
This 2892-nucleotide ribosomal RNA is filed under the name Stenotrophomonas maltophilia. RNAcentral describes it as "23S ribosomal RNA". It matches the Rfam family "Bacterial large subunit ribosomal RNA". Lineage: Bacteria; Pseudomonadati; Pseudomonadota; Gammaproteobacteria; Lysobacterales; Lysobacteraceae. The record is from RNAcentral.